Molecule: long non-coding RNA, 538 nt
Filed under: Bos taurus (domestic cattle)
Lineage: Eukaryota; Metazoa; Chordata; Mammalia; Artiodactyla; Bovidae
Description: long non-coding RNA NONBTAT018430
Source: RNAcentral
UGAAAUGUUUAAUUUCAGUUACUGUGAAUUCUUUUGAUCAGUUCUUUGCUUUUUAAAAAUCCCUAUCCAUCCUGUUAAAAAGAAAAUUAACUAUUAAGAGGUAUUAAAAGAUUCAAUUCUUAGAUGGACAGGGUUUAAAACCUUUUGUAAUAUAUUCAAAUGUAUAUUUUUGAGAGAGAUGCUGCAUUGCCAAUGCCUAGCUUCCUGUUAUAGCAUUUCCAAUUGCUUCAUACUUCACAGUUUUAAUGAAUACAAAGUAUAAGCUCUACUUUAUAACACAUCCUGUAGGUUUCUUUAAAACUGUUUUUAUAUUCCAGUUACAUUUCUCUAUCUGAAAACUCUUUUGUUACUGCUGCAGGUUACACCCUUCAUUCUUAGAGGCCAUUUUGUUUUGUUUGUUUUAUGCUAAAGCUGUUGUUGAAAUGCUCUAAAUUCCAAGGCAGAUUGUCUGUGUAAUACCCUACAGCUUUUACCAUGUGGUGUGUACCAGCCAGUACUCUGUAUUUGAAAAGUCGGAUUCCUUCUGUCAAAGCUGUUU